This is a non-coding RNA of Rattus norvegicus (Norway rat), 11679 nucleotides long. The record is from RefSeq and is a predicted model, not a curated record. NCBI's taxonomy places the organism in Eukaryota, Metazoa, Chordata, Mammalia, Rodentia, Muridae.
GUUGACUGAGGAAGUCUCUCCUCGGUCCGUGCUCUGGGCUGGGACCCUGCUUCCCACAGCUGUGAGAAGAGCGGGGUGAGGUCAGAAUCCGCGCUAUGAAUCUAAGGAUAAUUUUGUGCCAGCACAAAUGCGUUCUGAACCAAACCCAGGUCUUCUGCAAGAGCAGCUGCAGUGACCUAUGAGGAUGUGCACGUGAACUUCACCCAUGAAGAGUGGGCUUUGCUGGAUCCUUUCCAAAAGAGUCUCUACAAAGAUGUGAUGCUGGAGACCUACUGGAACCUCACUGCUAUAGGUUGAGCAGGUCCAUGAUUGUCAUAAGGACCAGGCAGACAAGAAGAGUCAUUGACAACACAGGAAUGUCCAUGUCUUCCCAGCUUACUCUGUUAAUUGGAAUAUUAGGGAUAUAAACCCAAUAAGGAUGAUUUGUCUCCAUUACCUGUACAGUUACUACAGACAGCAAGGAUACAAAUUGGAAGACCUGAAUAGUGAGGAACACUCUCCACGCUCUAGAAGAUAUGAAAGACAUAAUAUCUGUCACUCUGGGUAUAAACCUUGUGAACGUAAAGGAUAUGGAAAGAAGCAAUGUACCUUUGCAAGUAAAAGAUUUCUUCAAAUAUAUGAAAGCAUCCAUACUGAAGGGAAUCCGUAUGAAUGUAAACAAUGCAGUCAAAUCUUUGCAAAUUUAUAUCAUCUUCAAAAACAUGAAAAAAAACAUACCAGAGAAAAACUAUAUGAAUGUAAUCACUGUGGUAAAGCCUUUCCAAGUCGCAAUUCUCUUCAAAUACACAACAGAACUCAUACAGGAGAGAAACCCUAUGAUUGCAACCAAUGUGGUAAAGCAUUUACAUGUAGCAGUAAUCUUUUACUACACAAAAGAACUCAUACAGGAGAGAAACCCUAUGAUUGUAAUGACUGUGGUAAAGCAUUUGCAAGUAGCAGUAAUCUUCAAAUUCAUAAAAGAAAGCACACUGGAGAGAAACCCUAUGGAUGUAAUCAGUGUGGUAAAGCCUUUGCAUAUAGCAAUGCUCUUCAAAAACAUGAAAGAAGUCAUACUAGAGAGAAAAUCUAUGAGUGUAAUCAUUGUGGUAAAGCUUUUGCACGUCGUAGAAGUCUUCAAAAUCAUGAAGAACAUCAUACUCUUGAAAAACCAUAUGAAUGUAGUCAAUGUGGUAAAGCCUUUGCAUAUAGCAGUAAUCUUUAUAUACAUGAAAGAAGUCAUACUGGAGAAAAGCCAUUCAAAUGUCCUCAAUGUGGUAAAGCCUUUCCAAGUCACAGUUCUCUUCAAAUACAUGAAAGAACUCAUACAGGAGAAAAACCCUAUGACUGUAAUGAAUGUGGUAAAGCAUUCGCAUGUCGCAGUAAUCUUCUACUACACAAAAGAACUCAUACAGGAGAAAAACCCUAUCAUUGCAUUAAAUGUGAUAAAGCAUUUGCAUGUAGCAGUAGUCUUCAAAAACAUGAAAAAACUCACACUGGAGAGAAACCUUAUAAAUGUAAUCAGUGUGGUAAAGCCUUUGCACGUCGAAGCGAUCUGUAUAUACAUGUAAGAAUCCAUACUGGAGAGAAACCAUAUAAGUGUAGUCAAUGUGGAAAAGCAUUUGUACAUUGCAUUAGUCUUCAGAGGCAUGAACGAACUCACACUGGAGAGAAACCUUAUGAGUGUAAUCAAUGUGGUAAAGCCUUUACACGUCGCUUUAGUCUUCAAGUACAUGAAAGAAGUCAUAGUGGAGAGAAACCUUAUGAGUGUAAUCAGUGUGGUAAAGCCUUUGCAAGUCGUAGUAGUCUUCGAUAUCAUAGAAAACACCAUACUGUUAAGAAACCAAAUUAACCAGUGUGGUAAAGCCUGUUGGAAUCACCUUCAAACACAUGAAAGAAAUCAUACUGGAUAGAAACUAUGCGUAUAGUCAAUGUGGACAAGCCUUUAUAUAUCACAGUAGUCUUCUAAAUCACAAAACCAAUGUCAUAUGGAGAGAAACCCUACAAAUGUAAUUGAUGCAGUAAGCUUUGGCAUGUUUACAGAAUUGUCAGGGCUACUGGAAAAAUUGCGGAUGGAGGUUGCAGAACUUGGGAAACUACACGCAUUGGAAAAGGGAGAAUCAAAAGCCUCAGUACAGGUGACUACACAAGACAGCAGGAGUUUCUUACAAGAAUAAAGUGGGAAAGAAACUGCUCUGGAGGGUCCUCAGGUCAGAGAAAAGCUGAAAAGAAAGGAUGGCAGUCUGAUGAAACAGCUGAUUUGAGGAGAAAGUAUUAAUCUCAAAACAGUUGUGCCACCAGAGUGGGAGGCAGGGCAUCCUGGAGUUACAAAAUCACCAUCAUCUUUCCCAGUAGUCAUACAGCAUAUGCCUUCUAAUAGGAUGAUAAAAAGUUAUGACAAGGUAGGAUAGAGUCCUGUUGAUGUCCUCAUCUUAUGUCAAACAAAUUCUAAAUGACUAGUCUACUAAAAAUAGAAAUAUACCUUUGCACAUGCUGAAAGGAAGGACCUAUGAAUAUCAAGAAAUGAAAUAGUGUAAGCGAAAUGAAUAUAGUAAAAGACCAAUUGCUAGGCAAAGGGCAGUACUCUGAUAUAUAAGAACAAAAGCAAUUCAAUUCUGUUACUAUAGAACAAUGUUGCUUAGUGGCUUUAAGUCCUUUGGACAAAUGGUAUAAGAUAAUGAUUUAAGAAUGAUAUAAGACCCACCUCAUUCACUGAAUUUUGUUUUCAAAACAAAUAUUAGUCUCAGCUGUAAAGAAGGCCCUAUCAGAUCCUGAUGUAAGGCAGGUGUUGAUAGAGACCUUGGCAGAGGAAAAUGCAAAUACAGAAUGUAAAGAAGGUAUUACACCAUCAAAGACUUGGAAAGCACACAUGGAUGAGUGGAUAAAGGAUACAACCAAUAUUGGUUCUAACUUGUAUCAUGUUCAUAGCAUAGAUAAAACUAUAGCCAGAAGUCUCUAAUAUCAAAAUGCAUCAAUUGCAUGAAAUAAACUCAUUUGAAGAGAUGGGGACCAAGCCAUUAAAGAUCUCAGAUUACAAAAUGGCAGUGUGUUAAAUGCAAGAAAUAUAAUACUUGGCACUGAAAGAGUAAACAAGGUAUCUUUAAAGGUAAUGGUUUUUCUAAAUAUACACUAGAAAAACAGCCUAGUCAUUGAAGUAUGUACAGGGAAUGUGGCAGUUCUUUACAUUGGACCAGUGGAAGGUACUGCAGGCUGUGCUGCUCUAAACCUGGCCAUAGAUAAACAUCUUACUGUACCCACCAAAACUCAAUGUUAUAAAAUAUAUACUGGACUUCAUGGUCCUUUGCCUGCCAGGACAGUAGGAAUGAUCUUGGAAAUGUGCAGAUUGACUUCUCAAGGAUUCAUUGUUCUUCCAGAAAUUAAAGAUGAACCUUUCAAAAGAGAAAUUAAAAUUAUAGCCUAUGUGAAAACAGAUGGCAUUUAAUGCAGGUGGUAGGAAUUGCUGAGCUUCUACUGUUUCCCUACAUCAAAGCCAAAAUGGGCCAAGUACAAAAACAAAACAAAAAACAGAAGGGUUGAAGUACUAGAAAACAUGUUCUGGGAAAGUGUUAUUAAUGCCCAGAGGCCAAAAUUAAAAUUGCAAGUAAAUGGUAUUGAAAUAGUAAGAUUGGUGGAUACAGGAACUGAUAUAACUAUUAUUUAUGAAAGAUCCUGAAAUUCAGAAUGGCCACUUCCAAAGGUUUGUUCACAGUUUCUUGGAACUGGAAAGUUAUAUGAGACAAAGUGUACUAUGGGUCAAAUGUGUGAGACUGGAAUGUCAACACGGAAAGUUAAAGUCUUAUGUGGCUGAUAUACCCAUAUGUUUAUUGGAAAGGGAAUUCUUUUUACAACAGUGGCUCCGAUUAAUAUUCCCAAAAUCCCAUAAUGAAAUUAAGGCUGAACUGGUACAUGCUCCUGGGAAAGGUAUUGCUAUGCAUCAUCAUAAAUAAUUCAAGGCUGUGCCAAUUGUCCAAACAUAAGACAUCCCAGGGAUUCAGUUUCCAAAUUUACAAUGGAGGCCACCAAUGAGUUACCAUUGGACCUACCCUUAAAAUGGUUGAUUAAUAUGCCUGUAUGGAUAGAUUAGUGGCCCAUAACAAAGGAAAAAUUAUUGGCACUUGAGUAGCUGGUACAUGAGCAGCUCUAUGGGCAACAUACAGAAGUGUCUACUAGCCCAUUUAAUUUUUCUGUGGUUUUUAUAAAAAAGAAAUAAGGAAAAAGGAGAAUGUUAAUACAUUUAAGAUUGGUGGAUAGAAUAAUUCAACUAAUCUGCCCCUUAAAGCCUGGAAUUUCUUUACUUUUUUAUUCCCUAAGCCGAGGCUGAAGAUAGUACUUUAUUUAAAAGUUUGUUUUUUAAAAAUCCCCUUGCAUGAGCAGAAUAGGAAAAGGUUUACCUUCACAAUACCUACUUAUGAUAAUGAUCACUCAGUAAAAGGUGAUCAUUAUGGAAAGUUCCAUAAGAGAUAUUAAAUUGUCUAACUUUAUGUCAAUAUUUUGUCAAACAGCCGCAAGAAAUAAUUUGUAGGCAAUUUCCUCAAACCAUUGUUUAUCAUUACAUGGUUAUUUUGUUGUCAGAUUCUGAAGAAAUAUUUUAGAGAAAAAGUUAAAGGAAACAAACAAUUCUGCCAUGCUGGGAAUUAGAGAUUGCUCUUAAAGAAAAAAAAACAAAACAAACAAAACAACAACAACAACAAAAAAACUGCAGUGAGGAGAUUCUAUUAACUAUGUGGGUAUAAAAUAAGUCAACAGAAAAUUCAACCACAAAAGAUACAGAUUAGAAGAGAUCAACUGCAAACUCUUUGGUUUUCAAAUUCUAAUGAUAGAUAAUAAUUUGCUACCACCUAACAUUGAAUUAACUGCUCAGGAGUUGAGUAAUUUGUUUGUAACAUUACAAGGAGAUUUAGACUUAAACAGUCCAGGAUGGUUAACAGGUGAAGCAAAGUAAGAGUUAACUCUGGUAGAACAGAGAACUAAAAAAUGUGUAUGUGGCUCGCAUAGUUCCUAAAGUUGAUUGUAUUUUGGUUACUUUGCCUUCAACUCAUUUUCAUACUGGUCAUCAUGCAAAGGGAAGAUACGAUUAUUGAGUAGACUUUCUUACCACACAAAGUAAAAAGUUAAAGACUUAAAUAGAAAAAGUUUCUGAUAGAAGGUAAGCAAGACUAUACCAAUUGUCAGGGAUACACCCAGCAGAAAUUGUAGUACUUUAUACUAAUAUUAAGAUUAUGACUGUGACCAGAACUGACUGGGCCCCACAGCUCUCUGUACCCAGAUCCUGUGGGAGAGAAAGCUGGUCUCUUGGGGGCUGGGAGGAGGGUACAGACAAUCCUGAGAGUGCACAGGAGACCACCACUUCUGCUCAAAUUCCUAGCACAGGAGGAGCUUGCCUGGAGCCUUCUGGACCCAGGAACCUAGUAGCCAUGAGGGAUCCAUCUGGUUUCUGCCUGCACCCAAAGCUGAAAGCCAGUCUCCAGCAGUGCUGACACAUCAGAGAACAGAGGUAAGGCCACUACUUCCGACCCGCCUGGAGCCCUCAGAACACAGAACCCAGGAGCAGUCUGGGACAGGAUCCUUCCAGGUUUUGCCUGCACCCAGAGGUAACCUGGUCCCACAGCUUCCCCUGGGGGGAAGAGUGGGAAUCUCAGAGGUAUAGGCCAUCCUGGGAGCGCAGGGAAGAUCACAACUUCUGCUGGCAUUCCUGGUCCAUGAAGAACCUGUCUGGAAACCUCAGGAAACAGGAACCUAGGAGCAAUCUGGGGUAGGAUCCUUACGGUUACUGCCUGCGCCCGGCCCUGUGACACAGUUCUCUGGACUCAGGCCCUGCUGGCAGAAACCUGGUUUCCAGAAGUGUUGACACACAGGCUUACAGGAGGGUCAAGCCACUGUCAGAGACAGCAAGACCAGCCACACAAGAGGCAACAAGAUGGUGAGAGGCAAUCACAGGAACUUAAGCAAUAGAAACCAAGACUCCUUGGCAUUAUCACAACCUAGUUCUCCCACCAAAGCAAAUACUGGAUAUCCCAACACACCGGAAAAGUGAGAUUUAGAUUUAAAAUCACAUCUCAUAAUGAUGAUAGAGGAUUUUGAGAAGGACAUAAAUAACUCAAAGAAAUACAGGUAAACACAACAAAACAGGUGAAGGAAUUGAACCAUCCAAGACCUAAAAUUAGAAAUAGGAACAAUAUAGAAAUCAGAAAGGGAGACAAUCCUGGAGAUAGAAAACCUAGAAAAGAAAUCAGGAGUCAUAGAAGCAAGCAUCACCAACAGAAUACAAGAGAUAGAAGAAAGAAUUUCAGGGGCAGAAGAUAACAUAGAAAACAUUGAGAAAACUUUCCAUGAAAAUGUUAAAUGCUAAAAGCUCCUAACCCAAAACAUCCAGGAAUUCCAGGAUACAAUGAGAAUAUCAAAUCUAAGGAUAAUAAGUAGGGAAGAGUAUAAAAAUUCCCAACUUAAAAGGCCAGUAAAUAUCUUUAACAAAACUAUAGAAGAAAACUUACCUAACCUAAAAAAGAGAUGCCCAUAAACAUACUAGAAGCCUACCGAACUCAAAAUUGAAUGAACCUGAAAAGAAAUUCCUUCUGUCAUAUAAUAGUCAAAGCACCAAAUACACAAAACAAAGAAUAUUAAAAGCAGCAAGGGAAAGAGGUCAUGUAACAUAUGAAGGCGGAUGUAACAGAAUUACACCAGACUUUUCCCCAGAGACUAUGAAAGCCAGAAGAUCCUGGGCAGAUGUCAUACAGACCCUAAGAAAAUACACAUGCUAGCCCGGGCUACUAUAUCCAGCUAAAUUCUCAAUUAAUAUAGAUGGAAGAAAACUAAGAUAUUGCAUGAGAAAACCAAAUUUACAAAAUAUCUUUUCACAAAUCCAUCCCUACAGAGGAUAAUAGAUGGAGAACUCCAAGGAUCGACACUACAUCCUAGAAAAAGAAGAAAGUAAUCUUGCAACAAACCCAUAAAAAGAGAACCACAGAAACAUAAUUCCACUUCUAACAAAAAACACAACAGGAAAUUACAAUCACUAUUCCUUAAUAUACCUAAAUGUCAAUGAAUUCAAUUCCCCAGUAAAAAGACAUAGACUAACAGACUUUGUAAACAGGACCCAGCAUUUUGCUGCAUACAGGAAACACACCUUGGUGACAAAGACAGACACUAUCUCAGAAUGAAGGCUGGAGAACAACUUUACAAGCAAGUGGUCCCAAGAAACAAACUGGAUUAGUCAUUUCUGUGUCAAAAAAAAAUUGACUUUGAACCAAAGUUAUCAAAAAAGGUAAGGAAGGACACUUCAAAUUCAUCAAAGGAAAAAUCCACCAAGAUGAACUCUCAAUUCCGAAUAUCUAUGCUCCUAAUGCAAGGCCACCUACAUCCAUAAAAGAAACCUUACUAAAGCUCAAAGCACACAUUGCAUCUCCCAGAGUAAUAGUGGGAGACUUCAACAGCCCACUCUCGGCAAUGGGCAGAUCAUGGAAACAGAAACUAAACAGAGACACAGAGGAACAAAGAAGUUAUAAACCAAAUGGAUUUAACAUAUUUAUAGAACAUCACAUCCUAAAACAAAAGAAUAUACCUUCUCAGCACCUCAUGUUACCUUCUCCAAAAUUGACCAUAUAAUUGGUCACAAAACAGGCCUCAACAGAUACAACAAGAUUGAAAUAAUCCUAUUCAUCCUGUCAGAUCACCACGUACUAAUACUGGUCUUCAAUAACAACAAAAAUGACAGAAAGCCCAUAUAUCCAUGGAAGUUUAACAAUGCUCUAGUCAAUGAUAGCUUGGUCAAGGAAGAAAUAAAUGAAAAACUUUUUAGAAUUUAAUGAAAAUGAAGGCAAAACAUGCCAAAACUUAUGGGACCCGAUGAAAGCAGUGCUAAGAGGAAAAUUCAUGGCUCUGAGUGUCUGCAAAAAGAAACAGGAGAGAACAUACAUUAGCAGUUUGGCAGCACACCUAAAAGCUCUAGAACAAAACAAAGUAAAUAACCCAAGAUGAGUAGAAGGCAGGAAAUCAUCAAAUUCAGUGCUGAAAUCAUGUAGAAACAAAAAGGACUACAAAGAGUCAAGAAAACCAGGAACUGGUUCUUUGAGAAAUUCAAGAAGAUAGAUAAACCCUUAGACAGGCUCAUAGGUAGAGUAUCCAAAUUAAUAAAAUCAGAAAUGAAAAGGGAAACAUAAAAACAGGAUCUGAGGAAAUUAAAAAAAGUCAUCAGAUCCUACUACAAAAACUUAUAUUCAAAAAAGGAAAAUCUGGAGGAAAUGGACAAUUUUCUAGAGACAUACCAGGAACCAAAAUUAAGUCAGAAUCAGAUAAAUAAUCUAAACAGUCCCAAAAUGCCUAAAGAAAUAGAAGCAGGUAUUAAAAGUCUCCCAACCAACUAAAGUACAAGAACAGAUGUGUUCAGUGUAGAAUUCUACCAGAACUUCAUAGAAGACCUGAUAUCAAUACUGUCCAAACUAUUCCACAAAAUAGAACAGAAGGAACACUAGCCAAUUCCUUCUAUGAAGCCACAAUAACUCUUAUACCUAAACCACACAGAGACCCAAAAAAGAGAACUUCACACCAAUUUCCCUUAUGAAUACUCAAUAAAAUUCUAACAAACUGAGUCUAAGAACAUAUCAAAAUGAUAAUCAUGAUCAAGUAGGCUUCAUCCCAGGGGUGCAGGUAGGGUUCAGUAUAUGAAAGUCUAUAAACAUAAUCCAUUACAUAAACAGAUGUAAAGAAAAAAAAAUGACAGAUCAUCUCAUUAGAUCCUGAGAAAGCAUUUGACAAAAUUCAACACCCCUUCAUGUUAAAAGUCUUGGAAAAAUCAGGAAUUCAAGGCCCAUACCUAAACAUAGUAAGAGCAAUAUACAGCAAUCCAGUAGCCAACCUUAAACUAAAUGGAGAGAAACUUGAAGGAAUCCCACUAAAAUCAGGGCCUAGACAAGGCUGCACAUUCUCCCUACCUACUCAAUAUAGUACUUGAAGUCCUAGCCAGAGCAAUCGGACAGCAAAAUGUCAAAGGGAUACACAUUGGAAAGGAAGAUAUCAAAAUAUCACCAUUUGCAGAUGAUAUGAUUGUUUAAUUAAGUGACUCCAAAAGUUCCACCUCAGAACUACUAAGCCUAAUAAUCAACUUCAGCAAAGUUGGUGGAUAUAAAAUUAGCUCAAAUAAAUCAGUAGGCUUUUUUCUACUCAAAGGAUAAACAGGCUGAGAAAGAAAUUAGGGAAAUAACACCCUUCACGAUAAUCACCUUGGUGUUAUUCUGACCAACCAAGUGCAAGAUCUGUAUGACAAGGACUUCAAGUUCCUGAGUGUAGAAAUCAAAGGUCUCGGAAGAUGGAUAGAUCUCCCAUGGUCACAGAUUGGCAGUAUUGAUAUUGUAAAAAUGGCCACCUUGCCAAAAGCAAUCUUCAGAUUCAAUGCAAUCCCCAUCAGCAUUCCAACUCAGUUCUUCCCUAGAGUUUGAAAGAGCAAUUAGCAAAUUUAUUUGGAAUAACAAAAAACUCAGGAUAGUGCAAACUAUUCUCAACAAUAAAAGAACUUCUGGGGGGAAUCACUCUCCCUUACUUACCUCAAGCUGUAUUACAGAGCAAUCGUGAUAAAUACUGCAUGGUAUUGGUAUAGAGAUAGGCAGAUAGAUAAAUGGAAUAGAGUUGAAGACCCUGAAAUGGUCACUUUAUUUUUGACAAAGGAGCUAAAACCAUCCAGUGGUGAAAAGAUAGCAUUUUCAACAAAUGGUGCCGGUUCAAGUGCAAGUCAGCAUGUAGAAGAAUGUAUAAUGAUCCAUUCUUAUCGUCCUGUACAAAACUCAAGUCCAAGUGGAUCAAGGACCUCCACAUAAAACCUGAUAUGCUGAAUCUAACAGAAGUGAAAGUGGGGAAGAGCCUCAAACACAUGAACACUGGGGAAAUUUUCCUGAACAGAACACCAAUGGCUUAUGUUCUAAGAUCAAGAAUCGACAAAUGGAACUUCAUAAAAUAGAAAAACUUUUGAAAGGCAAAAGACACUCAUUAGGACAGAACAGCAAACAAAUGUACAUUUUCACAAUGGAGUACUACUCAGCUAUUAAAAGCAAUGACUUCAUGACAUUCAUAUGCAAAUGGAUAGAACUAGAAAGUAUCAUCUUGAGUGAGGUACUCUCUUCACCAAAAAAUACACAUGGUCUGCACUCACUGACAAGUGGAUAUUAGCACAAACGCUCAUUACCCCAUGAUACAAUCCACAGAUCACCUGAGGCUGAACAAAAAGGAUAAUCAAAGUGCAGAUGCUUCAGUCCUUAGAAGGGGGAGCAAAAAAUAUUCAUAGGAGAUAUGGAGACAAAGUUUGGAGCAGAGACUGAAGGAAUGGCCAUUUAGAGAGUGCCCCACCUGGGUAUUCAGCCCAUAUACAUACAGCCACCAAACCCAGACAACGCUGCUGAUGCCAAGAAGUGCAUGUUGAGAGUAUUCUGCUAUCUCUGUCUCCUGAGAGGCUCUACCACAGCAUGACAUAUACAGAGCGAAUGCUUGCAGCCAACCAAUGAACUGAGAAUGGGGUCCUCAUUGGAGGAGCUACUGAAAGGAUUGAAGGAGCUGAAGAGGUUAGCAACCCCAUAGGAACAACAGUACCAACCUACCAGAGCUUUCAGAGGCUAAAUCACCAUCCAAAGUGUACACAUGGACAGACCCAUGGCUCCAGCUGCAUAUGUAGCAGAGGAUGGCCUUGUUGGGCACCAAUGGGAAGGGAAGCCCUUGGUCCUGCCAAGUCUGGACCCCCUAGUGUAGGGGAAUGUAAGAGCAGGGAGACAAGGUUUUGGUGGAUGAUUUGGGAACACCCUUAUAGAAGAAUGGGGAAAGGGGAGGAGAUAGGGGUUUAUGCACAGGAAAUCAGGAAAGGGGAUAAAAUUUGAAAAGUAAAUAAAAAAGAUUGUCAUUAUGGGUAAUCAGUAAGAUUGACAAAAAAACUUGUAGGAACUAUUUGUGAUACAUUAACAGCAAAUACUGUGAAAGCAAGCAUCUUCGGUUUACAAAAAGAAGUAAUUGGAUUCUCCCACAUAUAAAGGGAAUUGGUGUUCCCAAAACACCUACAUUCUACAUGGAUGCAAGUACUUUGAAUGACAGGUUAUAAGUUAGGCAAAAUGAGCCAAGUAGUCCAAAGCGCAUAUACUUCAGUUCAAAAAUCAGAGCUGUAUGCAAUUCUUAUGAUAUUAGUAGGUUUUUCUGAAAGUCUUAAUAAAAUUGCUGUGUAUCCAAAUAUGUAGAAAAAUUGUUUUGCAUAUAGAAACUGCUAAAUUUAUUCCUGACAAUUCAAAAUUAUACUUGUUAUAUAUACAAUUGUAACAGGCAAUAUGAAAUAGAAACUAUCCUUUAUAUACCACCUAUAUCUGGCCUCAAGAGGUUUUUCUGUCCCACUGACACAAGGGAAUGAAGAAAUUGACCAACUAUUAAUAGGAAAAAGUUCUAUCACCUACCAACAAGCCAAGGAAAUUAUAAGAAAAUGCCCUACUUAUUUUUUACUUUUUGUAACCAAACUGUAUCAUCCAUUACAAGUCAAUAUAGGGUUACCAGAAAAAAAAAUAAAAUUUGGCAUAUGGAUGUAUUUCAUCUUGCAGAAUUUGGAAAACUGAAGUUUGUAUACCAUACCAUUGAUAUAUACUCAGGGUUUUAAUGGUCAACUGGCUUAAGUUCUAAAAAGGAUGAUUCUGUAAUUACACAUUUACUGGAAAUAAAGGCUAUUAUGCACCUAUCUGUACAAAUUAA